GUAUAAAAAAGAAUCUCCCGCCCUAUAUGAUUUUUGUUUUUAGUUUUGAGAUCCCAGGAGGGGAGGCCACUUGGAAACUCGAGGAUGAGCCUGGUUGUAUCAAUCUUGAAGGUGAAACUCUUUGAAGGCGGGAGGCUGUGAGGCGGCGCCCAGUCGGGCCAGCUUGGACCAAGCCCGUCCAAGUCAAAGAAGGUGGACAUGCACGC
This 206-nucleotide long non-coding RNA is filed under the name Elaeis guineensis (African oil palm). RNAcentral's name for it is "long non-coding RNA (EGUI_LNC006466)". Lineage: Eukaryota; Viridiplantae; Streptophyta; Magnoliopsida; Arecales; Arecaceae. The record is from RNAcentral.